GAAUGCGCGCUCAGCAGCUGCUUCAACAACACGGAGUGCUUCCACAACUACCACCACGAGCUCGCUCAGAACCCCGCGUCUCACCGGGUGUUCAACCUCACGCUGUGCGCGUUCGUCUCCACCGACUACCCACUCGAGUGCGACCAUCGCAACUGCACCCUGGACAUCGCCGCCUGCAAGCACCUGGACACGGCGAGCAUGCCGGG
Lethenteron reissneri (Far Eastern brook lamprey) is the source of this 206-nucleotide long non-coding RNA. RefSeq lists it as uncharacterized. NCBI's taxonomy places the organism in Eukaryota, Metazoa, Chordata, Hyperoartia, Petromyzontiformes, Petromyzontidae. The record is from RefSeq and is a predicted model, not a curated record.